GAUGAACGCUGGCGGCGUGCCUAAUACAUGCAAGUCGAGCGAACAGAUGAGGAGCUUGCUCCUCUGACGUUAGCGGCGGACGGGUGAGUAACACGUGGAUAACCUACCUAUAAGACUGGGAUAACUUCGGGAAACCGGAGCUAAUACCGGAUAAUAUAUUGAACCGCAUGGUUCAAUAGUGAAAGACGGUUUUGCUGUCACUUAUAGAUGGAUCCGCGCCGCAUUAGCUAGUUGGUAAGGUAACGGCUUACCAAGGCAACGAUGCGUAGCCGACCUGAGAGGGUGAUCGGCCACACUGGAACUGAGACACGGUCCAGACUCCUACGGGAGGCAGCAGUAGGGAAUCUUCCGCAAUGGGCGAAAGCCUGACGGAGCAACGCCGCGUGAGUGAUGAAGGUCUUCGGAUCGUAAAACUCUGUUAUUAGGGAAGAACAAAUGUGUAAGUAACUGUGCACAUCUUGACGGUACCUAAUCAGAAAGCCACGGCUAACUACGUG
Molecule: ribosomal RNA, 497 nt
Filed under: uncultured bacterium
Lineage: Bacteria
Description: partial 16S ribosomal RNA
Rfam family: Bacterial small subunit ribosomal RNA
Source: RNAcentral